Molecule: transfer RNA, 69 nt
Filed under: Marmota monax (woodchuck)
Lineage: Eukaryota; Metazoa; Chordata; Mammalia; Rodentia; Sciuridae
Description: tRNA.Ala
Source: RNAcentral
GGGGUUGUGGCUCAGUGGUAGAGCACUUGCCUAGCAUGUGAGGCACUGAGUUUGAUUCUCAACACUGCA